ACGCUCGACACCUACGGAGGCAGCAGUGGGGAAUAUUGCACAAUGGGGGAAACCCUGAUGCAGCGACGCCGCGUGGAGGAAGAAGGUCUUCGGAUUGUAAACUCCUGUUGUUGGGGAAAAAGAGGAUGGUACCCAACAAGGAAGUGACGGCUAACUACGUGCCAGCAGCAGCGUAUCUGAGGCGGGCGUCGGACGAAGGC
Molecule: ribosomal RNA, 200 nt
Filed under: uncultured bacterium
Lineage: Bacteria
Description: partial 16S ribosomal RNA
Rfam family: Bacterial small subunit ribosomal RNA
Source: RNAcentral